GCAUUGCUAAUGCAUGCUGACUAAUAACCCUUGCGUGCUAACUAAUUUUCGCAGGAUUUCCUUUUCUUGAUUUUUAAGUUCCACCAUCCUCACUUAAAUCUUAAAGCCACUUCUUCUUGAAUUUUAGAAGAAGAAGAAUAAUAAUAAAAAAAAAACGGGUUUCAAAAGGGAAGAAGAUGUAGACCUAUAAGAGAGGAGAUAGGGGGAGGGGGUAGGUUUGCAAAUUGGUAGAUGCACAAGUGACCGCACCAGUUGAGUCGCAGCUUGCCAUGACGCUGUACUACAUAUCACUUGGAAGUCACCCAAAUUAACAUCUCACAAAACAAAUGAUGAUUGGAGUGCGAGUGUAACAUAACUUGUGUCCUAGUAAAUGUUAAAUGAAAACAUGCUGUGCCCUACAAAAUAUCCGUGAAUUAGAUGCAUCCUUGAUUCACACCACGACUAUUGGAUCAAUAUUUAAUGCCCAUAGAUAUAUAUUUGUAUAAAAAGAGUUCAGAAAAAGAAAACAAUGCGCAGGCAUCUACAACUCCAGGGUGGCAGACUAUUGUCAACUAAAUAAUAAGCUAGGAUUGCCACAAUUCAAAUGUUGCAGAGAGAAAUCAAGUUCAACCGUCCAUCAUGGGUCCAUCAAUCAAGGACCGGUCAUCGAGCAGUCCUGAGCAGUAAGCAUAUAACCUAGGUGGACCUAACAUCAGUACUGUACUACAUGCCUAUUUUAAGUUGAUCGAUGCAUGGACUGUGGUGAGAAGCUUCUCCUCUGUGUAAAUUGGGUACGCCGUACGCCUGCUUGCCUAAGAUUGAGCCUGAACAAAUGAGCCCAAAGGCGGGACGAGCGGCCCACGGACCUUCCUUUCUCCCCAGGAGCCUAGAUCCAUGCCAUUCCCGUUUUAGCCCCUUUAUCUCAGAGCCUCCCCCCAUUCUCUCCCUCCCUGUUUUUUUUUCUUGUCAAAGAC
This 953-nucleotide long non-coding RNA is filed under the name Phoenix dactylifera (date palm). RNAcentral's name for it is "long non-coding RNA (PDAC_LNC008756)". The record is from RNAcentral. Lineage: Eukaryota; Viridiplantae; Streptophyta; Magnoliopsida; Arecales; Arecaceae.